AGUGAACGCUGGCGGUAGGCCUAACACAUGCCAGUCGAACGGCAGCACAGUAAGAGCUUGCUCUUACGGGUGGCGAGUGGCGGACGGGUGAGGAAUACAUCGGAAUCUACUUUUUCGUGGGGGAUAACGUAGGGAAACUUACGCUAAUACCGCAUACGACCUACGGGUGAAAGCAGGGGAUCUUCGGACCUUGCGCGAUUGAAUGAGCCGAUGUCGGAUUAGCUAGUUGGCGGGGUAAAGGCCCACCAAGGCGACGAUCCGUAGCUGGUCUGAGAGGAUGAUCGGCCACACUGGAAGUGAAACACGGUCCAGACUCCUACGGGAGGCAGCAGUGGGGAAUAUUGGACGAUGGGCGCAAGCCUGAUCCAGCCAUACCGCGUGGGUGAAGAAGGCCUUCGGGUUGUAAAGCCCUUUUGUUGGGAAAGAAAAGCAGCAGGUUAAUACCCCGCUGUUCUGACGGUACCCAAAGAAUAAGCACCGGCUAACUUCGUG
Molecule: ribosomal RNA, 492 nt
Filed under: uncultured bacterium
Lineage: Bacteria
Description: partial 16S ribosomal RNA
Rfam family: Bacterial small subunit ribosomal RNA
Source: RNAcentral